RNAcentral lists this ribosomal RNA (253 nucleotides) under uncultured bacterium. RNAcentral describes it as "partial 16S ribosomal RNA". It matches the Rfam family "Bacterial small subunit ribosomal RNA", at positions 524 to 776 of the family's 1533-position model. The record is from RNAcentral.
UACAGAGGUCCCAAGCGUUGUUCGGAUUCAUUGGGCGUAAAGGGUGCGUAGGCGGCGCGGUAAGUCGGGUGUGAAAUCUCGGAGCUUAACUCCGAAACUGCAUUCGAUACUGCCGUGCUUGAGGACUGGAGAGGAGACUGGAAUUUACGGUGUAGCGGUGAAAUGCGUAGAUAUCGUAAGGAAGACCAGUGGCGAAGGCGGGUCUCUGGACAGUUCCUGACGCUGAGGCACGAAGGUCAGGGGAGCGAACGGG